This 253-nucleotide ribosomal RNA is filed under the name uncultured bacterium. RNAcentral describes it as "partial 16S ribosomal RNA". It matches the Rfam family "Bacterial small subunit ribosomal RNA", at positions 524 to 776 of the family's 1533-position model. The record is from RNAcentral.
UACAGAGGGUGCGAGCGUUAAUCGGAAUUACUGGGCGUAAAGCGCACGUAGGCGGCUUGGUAUGUCGGGUGUGAAAUCCCCGGGCUCAACCUGGGAACUGCAUCCGAAACUGCCUUGCUAGAGUAUGGGAUAGGGAAGUGGAAUUUCCGGUGUAGCGGUGAAAUGCGUAGAUAUCGGAAGGAACAUCAGUGGCGAAGGCGACUUCCUGGACCAAUACUGACGCUCAGGUGCGAAAGCGUGGGGAGCAAACAGG